RNAcentral lists this long non-coding RNA (429 nucleotides) under Ananas comosus (pineapple). RNAcentral describes it as "long non-coding RNA (ACOM_LNC009369)". The record is from RNAcentral. Lineage: Eukaryota; Viridiplantae; Streptophyta; Magnoliopsida; Poales; Bromeliaceae.
GUUAGGAUUUUCAUAAAUAUGACCCAAUUAAUCAUAUUCAAAUUUGAAUUUACUAUAAAUAAAAGUCAAUUCUAAUAUAUAUAGAACUGCUUGAUAUGCUUUUAUUUAAAUUAAAUAGAAUCCUAAUCAAACUUUAAUGGGAAGUUGAUCUGGAUUUUAUAUAAAAGGGUGUUAGUCCUGCCACCUUUUUAUUUGCAAUCUGGUAAAAAUUAUUAUUGGUUCCACACCAUACGGGAGAUUGUUUGAGUAAGAAGGAGAAAUCAAAUUUUCCAAAUUCGAUUAUUAACGUUUAGAUUAUAACUGAAUUUCUCGCUUCCGCAGAUUGAAAAAGAAUUUUUUUUCUAUGGCGCUCCGUGAGUUAUUAUAAUUUUAUUCAUGAUCCUAAGUUUUGAUAUGUAUUUAUUUUUAUUGAUGUUUUAUAUGUCGAUA